UGAAAAUGUAAUUUAAAAAUUUAAAUUAGUAUUAGUUAUGUUCUUGAAAAUUAAAGAUUUUGGCGGUAUUUUAGUCUAUUCAGAGGAACCUGUUCUAUAAUUGAUAAUCCACGAUUAUUCGUACUUAAUUUAAUUAGUUUGUAUAUCAUCGUUAAUUGAAUAUUUUAAAAGAAUUAAAUAUUCAAAAUUUUUAAUUUAAAAAUAAAUCAGAUCAAGGUGCAGUUUAUAAUUAAGUAGAAAUGGGUUACAAUAAAUUUAUUUAUAUGGAUACUAAUUUUAAAAUUUAGUUGAAAGUGGAUUUGAAAGUAAUUAUAUAAUAUUAAUAUAAUGAUUUAAGCUCUAAAAUAUGU
RNAcentral lists this ribosomal RNA (350 nucleotides) under Telephanus atricapillus. Its description in RNAcentral is "Telephanus velox partial 12S ribosomal RNA". Lineage: Eukaryota; Metazoa; Arthropoda; Insecta; Coleoptera; Silvanidae. The record is from RNAcentral.